RNA transcript from Triplophysa dalaica, 1899 nucleotides. It is a transcript of the gene named macrophage mannose receptor 1-like, with no coding region annotated. NCBI's taxonomy places the organism in Eukaryota, Metazoa, Chordata, Actinopteri, Cypriniformes, Nemacheilidae. The transcript is spliced from 5 exons. The record is from RefSeq and is a predicted model, not a curated record.
GCUAAGUCGAGACAAAAACGGCAGAAAACCCGAAUAAACAUCGGCAUGGCUUUUCCCAAAUGGAGGGCACUGAAGCAGGAAAAGGGUUUGCUAAGCGACGCCAAAGUUGCAAGCUUUCUGCUGGACCGGUUAGAUCAGAUGAGCUAGCAGUGAUGCUGAAACAUCAGAGAGGAGCUGUGAGAGCCGUGAUGGACAUGAGUCUGUUUGUACUGCUUCUGCUGUCAGGUUGGUGUCGUAAUUUCAACCUGUUUUCACAAGUAUAUGUACCAAUGCGGGGUGGCUUAGUGGUUAGCACGUUCGCCUCACACCUCCAAGGUUGGGGGUUCGAUUCCCGCUUCCGACUUGUGUGUGUUGAGUUUGCAUGCUCUCCCCGUGCCUCGGGGGUUUCCUCCGGGUACUCCUGUUUCCUUCCUUGGUCCAAAGACAUGCAUGGUAGGUUGAUUGGCAUCUCUGGAAAAAAUUGUGCGUGAGUGAAUGAGUGAGUGUGUGUGCCCUGCGAUGGGUUGGCACCCCAUCCAGGGUGUAUCCUGCCUUGAUGCCCGAUGACUCCUGAGAUAGGCGCAGGCUCCCCGUGACCCGAGGUAGUUCGGAUAAGCGGUAGAAAAUGGAUGGAUGGAUGUACAAAUGCAUUAGUUUAAACAUGUUUAUUUUAACAGGACUUAUCUGCAGCGCUACUGGUCUUUGGCGACCAUAUCACUACAUAAAUCAGAAUAUGACAUGGGCAGCAGCUCAGAGUUACUGCAGAGAGAGGUUUACUGAUCUGGCUACUGUAGACUCUAUAGAUGAUGUGAACAGGAUGAUAAAUGCAGUGAAUGAUGGAUACGGUGGAUCAGUGUGGAUUGGAAUGAAGAGGGUGACACAAGGUCGUUGGGGAUGGUCUAAUGGAGAAAACAGAGUCUCCCAGUACAGUAACUGGCAAAUAGGAGAGCCAAAUGGAGAUAAUACAGACGAAUAUUGUGGGUUUAGCUAUUGCGGGUUAUGGCAUGAUAUGCCAUGCAGCGACACUAUACAUUUUACCUGCUACAAUGGUGAGUUUCACAUUCCUAAUAAGCAUUUAGUCCAACUGAGAAGAGUUGAGUCCUUAUAUUUACUUUGGGUUUCCUAUAGAAAGUACUGGAUACAUCAGCAUACAGCUUUGGAAAAACUGGACAGAUGCUCAGAGUUACUGCAGACAGUAUCACACUGAUCUGGCCACUAAACUGGGCAGCAGGAUUCACAUCACAGACGUCAGUACUUGGAAACUGUGUUACCAUGUCAACCAUUUCUGGGAAAUGGAUUCAAAUCCCCUGUACUGAACAGCAUCCCUUUAUCUGCUAUGGUGAUUUGAAAAAACAGAUCAUCAGACUGAACUUGUCCCAUGAUGGAAAAUACAAUUUGAAUGACCCUUCAAAACAGACUGCCAUUCUGAAUAAGAUAACCGAAAAGCUAAAGAAUGCCGGACUGGACAGUCACUGCACAUUAAGCUGGAGAAAGGAUGAAGGUGGAGAGGUGUUUCACCCCGAGAGCAAACACACAUUGAAGUCAAAUAUUAGAUGUGACAGCAACUAAUGUUCAAUGCAUUAAAGUGAACUUUUAAACAUACUCAAAUAAUAUAAAGAUAUUUCUAUACAUUUACAGAACUCAAUAUUUAUCUUUCCACAUAUUAAGUGAUAUUAUUAAAUGCAAAUUUAUUUUAGGUAGUACCUUAACAUAAUAAUUUUCUAAUUUGUAGGGUGUUUUCACAUCACAGUUAUUGCAUGUUUUGAAAUGAUAGAAUUUGAAGUAUAGUACAGUUAAAUUCCAAAGCAUAUGCAAAGAGAAGGAUGAUGUGCAUGUAACCUGGUGUAUGGCCUUUGAAAAAAAUAGCAUCUACUUAUAAAUAUUUGUAAAUUGUGAUAUCAAACUUGCAUUGCAACACAA